UUGCCUUCCGCCGUGUGUGUGUGUGUGUGUGUGUGAAUCCUUGAUCUCGAAAUUGCGCUCCUGGGUCCUCGUCUGUCUGCCCUGACACACGUGGGGAGAUGGACAGGAAAGCUCAGGUGAGGGGGAUGAGGUGAUUGAUGGACAGAUGUAAAUAGCAGGAUGUGAGAUGAUAGGAACAAAGUCUGAGGUGGGUAGGGGGAGAGGCUUGGGAAAGUGGAAGGGUGGCUCGCUGCUGGAUCAUCACUUGAACCAGAAGUCAUUCUGGUGCGCCAACUUGAAGACCUUCUCAAAGAUCUUGUUUCUGCUCGGAGGAGUGAGGAAGGAUCUCUAAGGCGUGAUGAGCGAGGAUACACGAGUGCAGCGUUUACGGAAAUCUAUAACCAGCCGACACGCCCACUUAUUGGAUUUCAAUUAGUAAUUGCAGCUGAUAAGACAUUUCAACACCACUGGAGUUUCCUUCCGGAGUUAACACAGAUAACUGAAUAAACUCAAGUGUAUCACUCCCAACUUUUGUUAUUUAAGUUCUGAUUUACCAUCUAGAAACAACUUCCUUAAUUUAUUAAAAAGAUUUCUUUUCAUGAUCUGUUAUUUCUCCCAUAAACUUUUACUAUGGAUACAAUUUAAUUCAGCGAGUGUAGAGGAGUUUGUCAGCAAAAAACACUUUUUACAUUACAUUUUUAGUGUUCACUCCCCCUUAUGUCAUGUCUAGUUAUACUUCCUGUCUGUGUUUUCCCUCUGAUUGUUGAUUCGUUCCUCCUGUGUCCGUUCACCUUGCCCUUGUGUUUUAGCAUCUCUCCCCAGCUGUGUUUCGUUCCCCUCGUUUAGUGUCUGUGUAUAUAUCCCUGUCUUUCCCAGUGUUCCUUGUCAGAUCGUCAUUUAAGUGUCACCCUUACAGAUGUCUCCUCGUGCUUCUGCGUGCUCCCCGUGUCAUCCUGGUUUGUCUUUUGUUUUAUUGGCACAGUCCACAUGUCUGCAGACACAAACUCCAUCAAAAGUCUCUACAGCUGUUACAGCCGACUGACAGCUGGUCCAGCUGUGAUCCCGAACAUCAGAUACGGACGUCGCGUAACACUUCAGAGGAAAGGUUGAAAUUGGAGAUGGAGAAAAGACAGAUUAAAGGGGUUAUUGAAUUACUUUGGGGCAACCUCUGUCUGGAGCUGUCAUGACUGGUGCUGAAGGAACAUUGUCAGAGACUUCAGGGGCCUCACCUACUGCAGACAUGUCUGAACUAACUGUGACCCCUCAACUCAUCCAUGGAUCACCUCUUUUGUUGAGUCGUGACGUUUAACUUGCUGAGUCGGAGGCUGCUGUUCAUUAAACAAUGCUAAAACACAGAAAUGUUGAAUAAA
This is a long non-coding RNA of Cottoperca gobio, 1349 nucleotides long. RefSeq lists it as uncharacterized. The record is from RefSeq and is a predicted model, not a curated record. The transcript has 4 exons. NCBI's taxonomy places the organism in Eukaryota, Metazoa, Chordata, Actinopteri, Perciformes, Bovichtidae.